GAUGAACGCUGGCGGCGUGCCUAAUACAUGCAAGUCGAGCGAACAGACGAGGAGCUUGCUCCUCUGACGUUAGCGGCGGACGGGUGAGUAACACGUGGAUAACCUACCUAUAAGACUGGCAUAACUUCGGGAAACCGGAGCUAAUACCGGAUAAUAUAUUGAACCGCAUGGUUCAAUAGUGAAAGACGGUUUUGCUGUCACUUAUAGAUGGAUCCGCGCCGCAUUAGCUAGUUGGUAAGGUAACGGCUUACCAAGGCAACGAUGCGUAGCCGACCUGAGAGGGUGAUCGGCCACACUGGAACUGGGACACGGUCCAGACUCCUACGGGAGGCAGCAGUAGGGAAUCUUCCGCAAUGGGCGAAAGCCUGACGGAGCAACGCCGCGUGAGUGAUGAAGGUCUUCGGAUCGUAAAACUCUGUUAUUAGGGAAGAACAAAUGUGUAAGUAACUAUGCACGUCUUGACGGUACCUAAUCAGAAAGCCACGGCUAACUACGUG
This 497-nucleotide ribosomal RNA is filed under the name uncultured bacterium. Its description in RNAcentral is "partial 16S ribosomal RNA". It matches the Rfam family "Bacterial small subunit ribosomal RNA", at positions 28 to 507 of the family's 1533-position model. The record is from RNAcentral.